GGGUCAGUAGGUUGGUCGUGCCACCGGUACGUACCGGUCUCACUGAUUCCUCCUUCCUGAAGAACUGUAAUGCCAUUAAUUUGGUGUUGCGGGGAAACAGGACUGUUACUUUGAAAAAAUUAGAGUGUUUAAAGCAAGCUAACGCUUGAAUACAUUAGCAUGGAAUAAUGAAAUAGGACGAUCGAUCCUAUUUUGUUGGUUUCUAGGAUUGACGUA
This 216-nucleotide ribosomal RNA is filed under the name Glomeromycotina sp. RNAcentral describes it as "partial small subunit ribosomal RNA". The stretch from base 40 to 216 matches the Rfam family "Eukaryotic small subunit ribosomal RNA", at positions 686 to 864 of the family's 1831-position model. The record is from RNAcentral. Lineage: Eukaryota; Fungi; Glomeromycota.